This 72-nucleotide transfer RNA is filed under the name Camelus bactrianus (Bactrian camel). It matches the Rfam family "tRNA". From Rfam's summary of the family: Transfer RNA (tRNA) molecules are approximately 80 nucleotides in length. Lineage: Eukaryota; Metazoa; Chordata; Mammalia; Artiodactyla; Camelidae. RNAcentral also lists the same sequence under 1 other name. The record is from Rfam by way of RNAcentral.
GAGGGAAUAGCUCAGUGGUAGAGCUCAUGCUUAGCAGGCAUGAGGUCCUGGGUUCAAUCCCCAAUGCCUCCG